AGAGUUUGAUCAUGGCUCAGGAUGAACGCUGGCGGCGUGCCUAACACAUGCAAGUCGAGGAGAUGUUUGUGACAGAUCCUUCGGGUGACGGAUCAAACGGAAAGCGGCGGACGGGUGAUAACGCGUAGGCAACCUGCCCUUCACAGAGGGAUAGCCUCGGGAAACCGGGAUUAAAACUCAUAACGCCAUAGGGAGACAUCUCCUCUUGGCCAAAGAUUUAUCGGUGAAGGAUGGGCUGCGUCUGAUUAGUUAGUUGGUGGGGUAACGGCCUACCAAGGCGACGAUCAGUAGCCGACUGAGAGGGUGAUCGGCCACAUUGGAACUGAGACACGGUCCAAACUCCUACGGGAGGCACAGUGGGGAAUAUUGCACAAUGGGGGAAACCCUGAUGCAGCAACGCCGCGUGAAGGAUGAGGCCUUCGGGUCGUAAACUUCUGUCCUUGGGGAAGAAACAAAUGACGGUACCCUUGGAGAAGCCCCGGCUAACUACGUGCCAGCAGCCGCGGUAAUACGUAGGGGGCAAGCGUUAUCGGAAUUAUUGGGCGUAAAGAGUACGUAGGCGGUCUCUUAAGCGCAGGGUUUAAGGCAAUGCUCAACCAUUGUUCGCCCUGUGAACUGGGAGACUUGAGUAUCGGAGAGGAAAGCGGAAUCCUAGUGUAGCGGUGAAAUGCGUAGAUAUUAGGAGGAACACCAGUGGCGAAGGCGGCUUCUGGACGAAUACUGACGCUGAGGUACGAAAGCGUGGGGAGCAAACAGGAUUAGAUACCUGGUAGUCCACGCCGUAAACGAUGAGCACUAGUGUCGGGGCCGCAAGGUUUCGGUGCCGAGUUAACGCAUUAAGUGCUCCGCCUGGGGAGUACGCACGCAAGUGUGAAACUCAAAG
Molecule: ribosomal RNA, 883 nt
Filed under: uncultured Anaerovorax sp.
Lineage: Bacteria; Bacillati; Bacillota; Clostridia; Peptostreptococcales; Anaerovoracaceae
Description: bacterial SSU rRNA
Rfam family: Bacterial small subunit ribosomal RNA
Source: RNAcentral